GUUUGGGGCUGUUGGUAAGCUGGCUGUCCGUAUUGAAUCUGUUGAAGGGGUGCAGGGCGAGGUGCUGGCGCAGGCGCGACUGCUCGGAGUGGCGCAGGUCUGGCAGCCGGUUGUUGAUAUUCCUCUUGGUAGUUUUGUGCUUGCAGAGCUUCUUUGCUGGUGGUGUCGUCGACCAGAGUCGGUGGUGCAACCGUGAUACCCUCGCCAGCGGGUUGGAAACCGUAUUGAUUCGCUCCAUAUUCGACUACACGUACUUUGCCGGUGUCAUCGACGAAUCCGUAUUUACCCUUCACCUCUCCGGAUGGCCACUGGGGUUGGUUUUGGGGUUGUGGGGCCAGCCGAUUGCCGAUUUGGCGCCGAAUUAGCGGCAUAACUUCGGGGAGUCGGAUGAGUCGGUCUUGGAGACUCGUAUGCUGAGUAUUCGUCUACGUAGUUGGCAUCUGGUUGCUGGUAUUGCUGAGCCGAUACUACUAGUAUGGCAGCUACCAGUAAUAGUACCUGGAAGAAGUAAAAAGCUGUGUUUGGUCGAAAGCAGUGCGAAGAUGUAAUUGAUUGUAGAAUACUACGUUACGAUAUAAUUCAUUUUUAUUCGAUUAUUUGAUAUUCCGUGGUUUUAUGACAGAAUACGUGCGAUAGAUAUACACAGUGUUAGUAAAUUAUUGUCGUCGUUCUUAAUCGUGCCUUUCUAAUCGUGCCACGCGUAUCUC
This 707-nucleotide unclassified non-coding RNA is filed under the name Bombus terrestris (buff-tailed bumblebee). Its description in RNAcentral is "misc RNA ENSBTSG00005022762.1". The record is from RNAcentral. Lineage: Eukaryota; Metazoa; Arthropoda; Insecta; Hymenoptera; Apidae.